Anopheles stephensi (Asian malaria mosquito) is the source of this 2548-nucleotide long non-coding RNA. RefSeq lists it as uncharacterized. Lineage: Eukaryota; Metazoa; Arthropoda; Insecta; Diptera; Culicidae. The record is from RefSeq and is a predicted model, not a curated record. The transcript is spliced from 3 exons.
GAACCCGUUCCCGAGGUACCUCAAGACUCUCUUGGGUCUCUUUUUUCUCUCCUCUUGUCAAGACAUCAAGUGCAGCAAGUCGAAGUGCAGCAAGAAUCACAUGGAAUCGAUCAACCGUAGCGACCAACGUCAUCCCAUGUUUGCUCGCACACACGCACACGAUGCAAUUCCACUUAAAUGCAUUACGAGCUCUCACUCACUUUUUCCCCUAUAAGCCCUUGCCUGUCUUCGCCUUCGAUGCCGAUCUUUCGUUCGUCUUAAGGCUCAGAUAAUCAAACACACUCUCACACACUCGCUUGACUUCUCGUUGUCUUUUCUUCCGGUGCGUUUGCUGUGUUGGUUUGCUUUCUUGUGUUUCUCUUAAAGUAGCCGACUUGCUCGAAGAUCUCUUUAACCGAUACCGAGAAUGGAGGAAGCGGAACAUAAAUCUAUCGCCUUAAACGUUAGAUUAGGCGAUAUGGAAGGAAAGAGGUCCACCACAUAAUCGGCUGAACGGUAUCCGACCCCGAACAGAUGACUCAGCUUCCAGAAUUGACUUGUACCGCCGGAUCCUUUUCACCCUGACGAAGGUAAACCACUCACAGGCAAAGCAAACAGAGAGUACAGCAGCAGACGAACGAAGAAAAAAAAGGUUCUAUUUGUUUCCAUUUUUGCCACUCAACAAAAGUGCACGAUGGUGUUUGCUAAUUUACACAACAGCAACAACAGAGCCAGUGCCAGAGAACUCGGGGUAUUCGGAAUAGCCGAAUAAUUGGCUGACCGAUGCGUGUCCGUUGAUCGGUGGCCCAAGCGAGAGAGAGAGAGGUUGCAUGCAGGUCUUGGCAAGUCAAUUAGGAGUAUAAAUUGGGAUACAGGGUCAGCAAUUGGGGUUCUUGUUGUUGAGUUUUGCAUAGCCGGAACAGCAUAAUAGGGGCCUAUCGAACCAAAGGCUCCGAAGCUUGUCAAGGUGACAAAUGGUGCACAGUGGAACGCGCAGGGGAAGGUAAUUUAUGCAAAGACUUUAAUUUAAUCCGUUUAAAUUUAAAUGUUCCAAUUGAAAAGGUGAACGGUUCGGAAAAAUAAAGUAGGGAAAUUAAUUGCACCUCAAAGUCCCUUUUUUACGAUAAGAAAAAGAAACAAGCUUAUCCAUAAAGUAGUAAUAUUAUUACCUUCGAGCAACUCACAGUAGAUAACGCAUUCUAAUGCUAAAUAAAUGCUGAAGUAAAAAUUUCAAAUAAUUUAAAUUCAACAAAACCACGAAAUGCUGCUUCAUCCUUCUCUCUACACGAGUAAUUAAUGAGCCAAUACAUCAUUUUGAACAUAUCACGCCCAUCCAAUGCCAAGCGUUAGAAAGCAACACCGAUCGUAACACAUAGUGGUCAACGGUGUAUGCAUCGAGCAUGAAAAAUGUGCACUCAUUUCCCUUUUCUCAUAGGAACCGACAACGGCAACCACACAAUCAACCUGCAUCAGCAGAAGAAACUCUCUUAAAAAAAACCCAUUACUUCCUUGCUAUUCUUUAAACCGAAAAAAACCCUUCCAAACCACAGCAAGAGAGCAUAACAAAUGGCAACCAACAGGGGAAAAAAGCUUCCCGAAAACCAUACGAUCAUAAUUUCAUCCCAUGUAUGAAAGCUUCCAAUUGCAGUGCGGUUUUUUUUCUUCAUCUACAAAGCACCGAAUUUGAUCUAUUUUCCACGCCGAAUUUGCUGAGCCAUAGUCCCAGUGGGCAGCAUGCAUACGUGAAAAUCAGAUUGGUGAAGAUACGAAAAGCGAAGGCCGGCACAGCCAUAGGAGUAGACGGGUCUGACCGCGAGCGGGUGUAAAAUAUUGGAUUACACGCACAAAACCCGGUACAAUAAGAUGACGGAAGGGAAAAGUAAUAGGUUGGCAUCGAAGCUUAACAGGCCCAGGCGUCCUCGAUCGUUCAUCAUACGCCAAUGAAAAGCGUGAAAAGGAUAUUGUUUAAAAUCUAGAACGAAUGGGUAACGUGUGCCUCAUUUGACGGGCAGGCCAGGUACAGUCGUAUUCAUCAAUCAGCUGAUGAUGGAAAGGAGAGCGUGUGCGAAAUGAGACGAGAUGAAAAAUGCAUUUCAGCAUUGAGAGAAACGUUUGCAAAGUAACUAAAAAGCCAUAAACAUAAAUAUAUUUAUUCCUUCAAGUCAUAAAGACCGUUCUGGACAUACUGGUAACAAUGUUGAAAAAAAAAUAAAUGAAAAAGUAAUAAACAACUUUGACAAUUUACAAUUGACUAAAGGCAAGAUCUUUAAAGUAAGAAGUGAAUAAUAAAAUUACCCCUACACCGACAAAUUCAAAACUAAAACAAGAUUAACAAGUUUUAACUAAAAUAGUAAAUUCAGAAAAAGACAAGUAAUAACAAAAAAUGUCAAAACAUAAGGUAUAAAUGCUUCAACAUUAAAUAACCAGCUUAAACUCGAAACAAAAGUCAUGAAAUAAAAACGGUAAAGAGAAACGAGCAACCCUUAUAAAAUAGGAUAAGAAGACAUCAAUGAAGAAAUAAACUCAACCAAAAGUUGAAAACAAACACACUUGAAAAGCAAAAAACUAA